This 332-nucleotide ribosomal RNA is filed under the name uncultured bacterium. RNAcentral describes it as "partial 16S ribosomal RNA". It matches the Rfam family "Bacterial small subunit ribosomal RNA", at positions 338 to 681 of the family's 1533-position model. The record is from RNAcentral.
CCUACGGGAGGCAGCAGUAGGGAAUGUUCGGCAAUGGGGGGAACCCUGACCGAGCAACGCCGCGUGAACGAAGAAGUUAGUCGUAAUGUAAAGUUCUUUUAACAGGGAAGAAAGAGAAAUUGGACGGUACCUGAAGAAUAAGCUCCGGCCAACGACGUGCCAGCAGCCGCGGUAAUACGUCGGGAGAGAGCGUUAUCCGGAAUUAUUGGGCGUAAAGGGUGCGUAGAUUGCCUAGUAAGUCUUUUGUAAAAAUGCUGGGCUCAACCCAGUAGGGCAAAAGAUACUGCAAAGCUAGAGUAUGACAGAGGCAAGUGGACCUACAUGUGUAGCGG